CCCACUCUGUCUCGGCUCCGGGAGCCAGGUUUGGUCUCGGAUCUACAGGGUUCAUAAAAAGGAGGACAAAUGCCAAAGAAUAAUUGCCGCUUCUAUUCCCUUUCAAUGCCUUCAAUACCUCCCAUUUUUGUUUGAUAUAUUUAUUUGCAUACUUCUACCUUUCCAUAACUUCUUUUCAUUGAUUUUAGGAAAAUCGGCAACACGUAUAAUAAUAUUUUUGGUGGUAUCCGACCCGAACAGGCUGAGUGGAUGCGACCGAUGAUUUCCCAAACUGUGUAGCUGAGGAUGUCAGCAUCAGUGUUUAUUGGAGAGAUUGGAUUGGAUCGUCCCCCCUAAUACCAGCAUGGCGCAGGUGGUGAUCGAGCUCUUUUGCUCCAGUGGCCGAACAGUUUUUUAAGUCAAUAGAGAGCUAAUGUACUAGCCGCCUGGUUAUUACUUCAUUCUGUGGCACGACAGCUGAGUUAUUGUGGAGAGAUGUUGCACCGUUCAGCUUUUAACCUCGCAAUUUUUUGGACCUUGGUCAUCAGUGUGGGACAACACCUCCACAUGUGGGAUAGUAUUGGACAUAUAUAUGACCUGCCUGCUUCUCUUGCCUGCUUCUCUACAAAAACGCAGCAAUACAGAUGGGCCUGAUUCACGGAGGGCUAUAAUCAACUAGCUUGCUAUACCAUAAUCCAUUUUGAAAUAUUCUCGGAUUUUUGGGUGCAAGGUUGGCAUGGCAAGUCUUCGUCCCAUGUCAUGAUUGAUAACCCAGAUUGGAUUCCGACUUAGCCAAGAAAGGGGGAAAUCGGAUUGCAUUUGAGAAAGGAUAAAGGAGGAAAAGGGAAAAUAAAUAAAAGGAAACAAACAAAUUAAAAACACACAAUGAGCGAAGAACCCGAUCAAAUCUUUCCGGACGUGGAUCGCGCCAAGAAUGGAUAUCUCGCGGACAAGAUGAACAAGGCGCUCAGAACAUUGACUACCCGAAAGGGACUCAUUGGCGACUAUAACUACGCUUUUUUAUUCACGCCGAAUCUCCCCUUUAUGAAAUCACAGCGGAGGGGGGCGCCUUUUUUUGGCUUGGA
This 1064-nucleotide small RNA is filed under the name Histoplasma capsulatum. RNAcentral's name for it is "hypothetical RNA". RNAcentral also lists the same sequence under 1 other name. The record is from RNAcentral. Lineage: Eukaryota; Fungi; Ascomycota; Eurotiomycetes; Onygenales; Ajellomycetaceae.